RNAcentral lists this unclassified non-coding RNA (334 nucleotides) under soil metagenome. RNAcentral describes it as "partial contains 5.8S ribosomal RNA, internal transcribed spacer 2, and large subunit ribosomal RNA". The stretch from base 1 to 120 matches the Rfam family "5.8S ribosomal RNA", at positions 35 to 154 of the family's 154-position model. The record is from RNAcentral.
GAUGAAGAACGUAGCGAAAUGCGAUAAGUAAUGUGAAUUGCAGAAUUCAGUGAAUCAUCGAAUCUUUGAACGCACAUUGCGCCCGCCAGUAUUCUGGCGGGCAUGCCUGUUCGAGCGUCAUUUCAACCAUCAAGCCCCAGGCUUGUGUUGGAGCCCUGCGGCUGCCGCAGCCUCCCAAAACCAGUGGCGGGCUCGCUAUCACACCGAGUGCAGUAGUUUACUCUUCGCUCAGGGCGUGUGGCGGGUGCUAGCCGUAAAACCCCCAACUUCUCAAUGUUGACCUCGGAUCAGGUAGGAAUACCCGCUUAACUUAAGCAUAUCAAUAAGCGGAGGA